Molecule: ribosomal RNA, 508 nt
Filed under: uncultured bacterium
Lineage: Bacteria
Description: partial 16S ribosomal RNA
Rfam family: Bacterial small subunit ribosomal RNA
Source: RNAcentral
GAUGAACGCUAGCUACAGGCUUAACACAUGCAAGUCGAGGGGAAACGAUAUUGGAAGCUUGCUUCCGAUAGGCGUCGACCGGCGCACGGGUGAGUAACGCGUAUCCAACCUGCCCACCACUUGGGGAUAACCUUGCGAAAGUAAGACUAAUACCCAAUGAUGUCCAUAGAAGACAUCUGAAUUGGAUUAAAGAUUUAUCGGUGAUGGAUGGGGAUGCGUCUGAUUAGCUUGUUGGCGGGGUAACGGCCCACCAAGGCGACGAUCAGUAGGGGUUCUGAGAGGAAGGUCCCCCACAUUGGAACUGAGACACGGUCCAAACUCCUACGGGAGGCAGCAGUGAGGAAUAUUGGUCAAUGGGCGAGAGCCUGAACCAGCCAAGUAGCGUGCAGGAUGACGGCCCUAUGGGUUGUAAACUGCUUUUAUAAGGGAAUAAAGUGAGCCUCGUGAGGCUUUUUGCAUGUACCUUAUGAAUAAGGACCGGCUAAUUCCGUGCCAGCAGCCGCGGUAA